AGCGAACGUUAGCGGCGGGCCUAACACAUGCAAGUCGAACGAGAAUGAGGGGGCAACUCCUCUAGUAAAGUGGCGGACGGGUGCGUAACACGUUGGUAAUCUACCUUCCGGCGGGGGACGAACAGUCCGAAAGGAUUGCUAAUACCGCAUACGUCGACGAGGUCUCCGGAUCUUGUCGGGAAAGACGGCCUCUCCUUGGAAGCUGUCACCGGAAGAUGAACCUGCGGCCCAUCAGCUAGUUGGUGAGGUAACGGCUCACCAAGGCGAAGACGGGUAGCUGGUCUGAGAGGAUGAUCAGCCACACUGGGACUGCGACACGGCCCAGACUCCUACGGGAGGCAGCAGUGGGGAAUAUUGGGCAAUGGGCGCAAGCCUGACCCA
RNAcentral lists this ribosomal RNA (381 nucleotides) under uncultured bacterium. RNAcentral describes it as "bacterial SSU rRNA". It matches the Rfam family "Bacterial small subunit ribosomal RNA", at positions 29 to 390 of the family's 1533-position model. The record is from RNAcentral.